Molecule: long non-coding RNA, 10911 nt
Filed under: Linum usitatissimum (flax)
Lineage: Eukaryota; Viridiplantae; Streptophyta; Magnoliopsida; Malpighiales; Linaceae
Description: long non-coding RNA (LUSI_LNC005078)
Source: RNAcentral
CCAGCAAGAGUUUCCUCAAAGCAUCUGUUUUUAUCAUGGUGAGCGGUAAAUAUAUGAACUUUGUGACCUCGGGAUGCAAGUUCAACUGCUGCAUCAACAACCAACCUCUCAGCCCCACCUACAAAGAACAAGGAAACAAGUAUAACAUAAAUUACUAAUCACAUGAAACCAUAAUAUUUUGCAAAAGAAGCUCAAACAGAUAAGUCUCUCUACUCCAUUUUAUUAUCCAGAAAUUUCGAAAUGAAGCAUAAUGACUUGAAAUUUUAAUUGGCAAACGCAGCAAUUCAUCAAGAAAGUAUAAAAAGAAGAAGGACAAUGGCUUGAAAUGAAAAAGUGAGAAUAUAACCGAUCCCAAGGUCAGGAUGAAGAAUGGCUAUAUUCAACUUGGAGCUUUGUCUGGACUCCAUUGUUGCCUGCUCAUCAGUUAUGGGUGUUUUUCAGUCUUCAGUAAACAUCACAAUUUCAAAAAAUACAGGAAGUUCCUGUCAGAUUUACAGUAAAUAUCUUUACCUCAAACACUAGCCAAUUCGAUUUGGAGUAGUAUCCAAUUCCGAAUUUCAGCGAUCUUCAGCAACCUGCUUCCGUUUCAACUAAAUCCAGAUUUCUUCGAUCUCGAUCCGACUUUCGAUCCUUGUUUAAGCAAAACAAAUUGGCAAAAGGCGGCUUCUUGGGGGACUUGAGGUUUUUUUUUUCUACAGAGGGAUACAAUGGAGUGGAGGAAGAUCUCAAAUGGCAAAUUUUAACGGAAUUGGACGGAUUUACUAUUUUUAAUUUUUCUCAAUACGAUUAGUACUAGAAUGAAACGUUUUAUGACUUUUUGGACUGAUAUGAGAAACCAGUUAGUAACAGCUCUCACUGACACUGAGAGCGAAGAAGAACUGAUUUGAUUUCAAUCGGAGGAAGAAGAAUCCAUGAAAGACUGAAAAGCUUGAUCGCUCAAAUGCUCUAGGCAAGAAGUAUACAACCGUCAACUAUCAAAGCUCUGUGAAAGAUGACAGGAGCCUGCCGGCGAACAGCUCGAAGCAGCAAAGGAAAGUCCUCAUUGGACGACGGCAACGACGACGGCGAUGUUUCUCGUCGUAGCUCGAGGACGAGCUCGAAAUCACGCAAGGAUAAUAAGAGACGAGACGGAAGCAGCAGCAGCAGCUUGGUUCGUAUGCUUAACCUUGACUUGAAAGUCAUGAUGGCCGUUUGCGGAGCAGCUUCUUUGAUCAUCUUCUUCCUGAUUUACAAUCUGAUGAUAAUCCCCGUCGAAGUUUCUCGGAGGCCUAACGUUGUUACUCCAUUUCCUUCUCCAAAGCUCAUGGACCUUCCUCAGGUGACUGAAAUUAAGCUCCCACUGGACAUCGUCCUAAUAUACUGGAACAUUUUGGAAUUCAGUUGUGGUUUAAUUUUCUCUGUGAUGAUGCUUUCACUUUUCAGUUUCAAGGAGAGCAUAAGGAGAGCUUGUAUUGGGGAACUUAUCGUCCUCAAGUUUAUUUUGGUGUUCGUGCUAGGUAAGGUGCUCUUUCGUUUUGCUGGCUAAUUCUGGUUAUGUGGAAAUUUGAAGCAAUUUGUGUGAACUGAAUUGGUGAUGCGUUCAUAUGCUAGAAUUUUGGAAAGAUUAUGAUAAACGGUAAUGAACAUGUGAUAUAGGAUCGAACAGGAUUCAUUUCUGCUAUGAGGUUUAAAAUGGCCAAAUGGACGAAUGUGGUAUCGUAUACAUUGCUAAUGAAGUACUGACAUGCAGGACGCCAAAAUCAUUGGUUGCUGGUUUGAUGUGGUUAGGUGUAAAGGAUGGAAGAUAUGAAAUACGCCAUGUGUGCCAAAACUCGGACGAUUUGAGCAAGUACGGGUGGAUUGCGCAUAAUGGUCGUGAUUUCGGGAAGCAGGAGCUAGUUGAGCAGGAGCUGAAGUUGGAGACCAGUUUCUUGAAGUCCAGGAGUCAAGGCAGUGGUUAUGGUGGAGAUUGGGCUGUCCAAAUCGAUAUGCAACAUGAAAAGUAAAUGACUUUGCUUAUAAGAAAGUGAUGGAUUUCACUCGUUCAAUUUCUUUUUUAUGGAAUAGUUGGCGAGAAAGAAGAGAAGAACUGGAGAGAUGGGGUUGGCGCCAUACGUCAGCUAAAACUCACUUUGUUAACUUGCAGAUCUGGAUCAAGUAAUGAAUUACUGACAACGGGUCACUUAUUUUUCUAUUUGGCGGAUGAGAGUGGCAAUGCUCUAAGUCUGAGCAAGAAUGCCAACAAUAAUCACGAGACUUCUCUCCUGGCAUCAGGUUCACGAGCAGACGUUGGAGAGUGGCAGGUUCAUUUGAAUUCAAAGGUAAGGUAACAAGGCAAGGCGGGCUCAUGGUCCCAUUUGUGUGAUAAGAUAGAUGAUUCUCAAUUAAGCCGUCACUUCUUCAUAGCUUGGCUAAGAUAGAAUCUAUGUGUGGACAAGCUUCUCAUCUGAAUAGCACAGUUCUCUUCAUCUUGGAUUACUCAUAUCGGUUUGGUGUCUGCUUCUUGUUUACAGGACAUGUUGGAGGUUCACCAUUCUGGUUUCAGGACUCCUCACAUUCAUAAUCUAUCUGAUUUUGUUCUGCAAGAUCUUGGCAUGCAGGUAUGUUGAUUUCAAUAUUUAUUCCUGGCUUCAAAUGGUUAAGUGUCGAUGAAUCACCACAAUAUUUGCAUCAUUGAUUUGUUUCCAGUUAAGGGAUUUUGGUCGUCUACAGUUGCCCGACUCAUCUGAAAAUUCUGCAAACAUUCUAGUUUUCCAGGUAUAUGGACAAGCCCUUGCAGACCUUAGAUAUGGGAACUCUGUCUGUGCUUUAUGUUGUAGAAAGUUAAGGCUCUAAGUAUCUCUAGCCCUCUGUAGGUAUCUGCAAGGAUUCCAUUUAGGACAGAUAUUGUCUUUGUAUCUAGAACUGGAAAGAAAGAUUCAAGACCAGAACAACGUGUGAGCAGCCUAACAGGUCUUUUCCUUAUCCAGAUAUGCAAACAAUCAACAUUUCUACAUCAUUGAUUAACUCCUUACUGAUAACGUCACCUGUAAGCAUUUACCUAGGAUAUUGGCGUUAGUAUCUUUCAGGUGCUUCACUGAGCAGUCAGCUAAAGCAGAAGCAAACAGAAUUUGACUCGAAGUUUGAGCAGCUCUUCAAUGGAGCCAACAAAGUAUCGUUCUUUCAUCUCCACCCUUUGAGAUCUAUCCAUAUUAUUUAGCUGAAUAGAGAAAUACACCAUACAAAUUGUCGUUCUCGAUAUGAGGCUUUUAGCAACAAUAUAGAUAUGAAUUAAAACACCAAUGUCUGAUGGUGUAAUCCUGUUUAUUCAGCUGGAAACUGAGUCCACUGUUGUUGGUAAGGCUGCUAUUGCCAAUAUGCUGGGAGGCAUUGGUUACUUCUAUGGACAAUCAAAGAUCGCUUAUCCUAAUGUAAGUCAUUCACAAUUUAAUGUCUUUAACCUUAACUGGCUUUUAGUCUUGAUAUGAUCACGGAACUCCCAGUUUUGGAUGAUGUCUCGAUCUAUAUAAAACGCACUCUUCCUCGUUGAUAGCAGAAGAGAAGAGCUUAAUUGCUCGUAUUGGUAAUACUACUACCAGUCUUAAAAAUCAAGUUCUUCCACAUUCAAAUAUUCACCAGUAUCACUGCUAAUAUAAAAGUGGUGGCCUUGAUAUAUGUCUAUCUGAUAAAGUCAUGAGUUGACCGGUUUUUACUUGCAGCGCGACACGUUUAUUUCAUAUUGGCCGGCUGAGCUGUAUACUGCUGUGCCAAGUCGACCUUUCUUUCCAAGAGGUUUUCUAUGGGAUGAAGGUUUUUAUCAACUACUGAUCUGGUAAGCUAUCUUUACUUUCCACCUUCUAUUUCUCAUCAUGUAAGUUUUCAGUAUAUAAUUGCCGACAUUCGCAUAUGAGCAGGCGCUGGGACCUCCGUAUAUCUUUAGAUAUCGUUGGCCACUGGUUAGACCUGAUCAAUAUCGAUGGUUGGAUUCCUCGUGAGCAAAUACUCGGUUCUGAAGCUCGUAGGUAUGUUAGCAAGAAACUACUUUCUUCAUUGUCUAAAUUCUCCUUUUUGCUAUUUAUGUAACCUGUGAGGUUGCCUCUGCUAUUACCGCAGCAAGGUUCCAGAGGAGUUUAUUCCUCAGUACCCAAGCAACGGAAAUCCUCCAACUCUCUUUUUGGUUAUCAACGGUGAGGUUAUUUUCUAACUUCCAACAUCGUUUGAAGAAUCAUUACAAUAAAUGAUCUGUCGUAAAAGCUUGAACUGAACACUGACGUUCAAUUUCGGUCUUCAUUUCCUAGAUCUGCUUGUUGGAAUAGAGAAAAACUUGUUCACGGAUGUUGAACGCAGAGAUAUUACUUUCUUUCUGGAGCGGGCUUUUGUUCGUCUUGAAGCUUGGUACCAGUGGUUUGCUACUACACAAUCAGGUAAGCUAAACCAAACCCUAAUUUUAUGGCUUCACUUUUAUUUGACCCGGCUUAUCAAGACCGAGAAACCUAUCUCAUGUCUAAACUCGAGCCUUUGAACACACAACCUGACGUGAUCCUCGACGUCUCAGCAUCAACUGACAAAAGGGACUGUGUUUCCUGUUUUUAUCUAUUUAUAGCAUACUGAGGUUUCCUGUGUACUUAUCUUGAAUUGCAGGGAAGCAGAUGAGCAGCUACUUUUGGCAUGGUAGAGAUAAUAGGACAACUCGUGAAUUGAAUCCGAAGGUUCUAUCCCACUGAGCUUGUAAUCUGUUCAAUGUGAGGACACUGCAUUUUGGCUGACAAUUGUAUCUGCGAUCUCAGACUCUAUCAUCAGGAUUGGAUGACUAUCCUCGUGCUUCGCAUCCGAAUGAUGACGAACGUCAUGUUGAUCUUCGGUGUUGGAUGCUUCUCGCUGCUAGAUGCAUGCAAUCCAUCGCAAAGUUCUUUGAGAAUGGAAACAGCCCUGGAAAGGUACAUUGCUAACUCGACAAGUGGAUAUGUUAUAACUAAUACUCCUUAAAGCUUAGCCAUUGAAAUAUCUGAAUUUUAUAUAGGAAUAUGCUUCAACAGUGGAACUGCUUUCGGAUCUCGAGUUGCUGAAUGAGGUAGGUCAACCAAUCUUGCAUCAAUCCUAUGUAGCUUCAGCAUUAAUCUUUACAUCUGUUUGUUUCAAGUGGAGUAACUUUAUGAAAAUGUUACCAGAUACACCUUGACCCAACCAGUGGAGCUUAUUUUGAUUUUGGAAAUCAUACAGAAAAGGUGUGCGCUUUACUUCUCUAGCUUCUUUCAGUUGUGGAAGGGUGGUUGGAAAUGCUUACACUUUUCUCGAACUUGCUAGGUUCGUUUGAGUUGGAAAGUGAUCAGAGACGGAAACAACCACGCCAGGCGAGAGCUUGUCCGAGAGGUUUUAGAAACUCCGAAUUGAGGCUGGUUUCUCAUGUUGGCUUUGGUAGCUUAUUCCCAUUCAUGGGGAAGAUCAUCCCACCUGUAAGUCCCCCCUAUAAAUUAAUUUUGAUAGCUUAUUUUCUCAGUUUCGCUAGCUUUCAUUAACUAACUUGAUGGUAGUAAACUUCAUCCAGGAUUCAUGGAUUCUCGAGAAACAGCUCGAUAUGAUUUCUAAUCGCAGCGUUCUGUGGUCAAACUAUGGACUCCAUUCUCUUGCCAGAACAAGGUUCAGUUAAUGACUUUCGUCUCCGAUCAUUACAUGAUUUCGAUGGACCCUGAAUGACCUAUUUGUUCGAUGUUCACAGCUCAAUAUAUAUGAAACGCAACACAGAGCACGACGCACCUUACUGGAGAGGCCCUAUCUGGAUGAACAUGAACUACAUGGCACUUUCUGCGCUACACCAUUAUUCCAAAGGUAACGAAAAGGUUUACUCUACUGACGCAAAAAGCUGGUUCGCUUUUAUCUCUUGCAGCUGAAUACCUGCAAUUCGUUUUCUGCAGCAGAUGGACCAUACAGAGAAAGAGCUGGCCAAAUAUACAGAGAUCUGAGAAGUAAUUUGAUAAGGUAGGUAAAAAUCUAUGGUUUGAACCGGAAAUCCUAUUGGUGAUCGAAACCGUUUUCGAAAUGAUGUCUGUUACAUUCGUUGCAGAAAUGUGGUUCACAAUUAUCACCAAACGGGGUAUCUCUGGGAACAAUAUGACCAGAUGAAUGGCAAAGGACAAGGAACUCGUCUCUUUACCGGUUGGACCGCACUCGUGCUACUAAUCAUGGGUGAAGCUUAUACAUGAAAGACAACAAUGAUCUUGCGAGCGAUUUCGACUCGGAUUAGUCUUAAGUUAUAGAGUACAAUAGCAGUAGGCUUUUUUCAUGUAUUAUCAGCCUCAUAACUUAAUAAUUUAGAGUUCAAAUUGUUACAAAAAUAUUGGAUACCAAAGAUUAAUUCUCGAAGAAAUCAAAGAAAACUUGUGAUACAUAAAUCUUUCGAAGCAUGUCGAAAGGAGCCUCUAGUAACAUCACCUGCGAAACAAACUAUUUGCGACUAGAGUCCUCUGUUUCAGCAUAAAUCGUCGCUCAUUACAGUGUCCUCAGCCAUCAUGAUCUCCAUGUCCCUGAUGUCUCGCUUUAGCACACUUCCAAGCCUUGCAAUAGCCUCUGUCUGCUGUUGUAAGACCUGCAUACGUACGAAUAGGCCAUCAUCCCAACAAUCAAUCGAAAGGGUUAUACUGAGAUCAUGGAGUCCUAGUGAGUCGAUAUGGUUUUCGGAGUUUGGUCCGACAUUUUACCUCUUGCAUGUCCACUAGACUCCGUUCAUCAAUCUUGGUUGAUCCUGGCAGAUACAUCAAAGCUCCUCCAUUGAACCCAUUUUCUUGGGUACGAGAGAUCGUUAGAAGGCUCUGCACCCUCCUGCCCAGUUCUGCUCCAGGACCUUUCAGCUGAAAUUACAGGUCAUUAAUGGCACUUCUCAGAUUCGAAGAAGGAAAAGUAUCAUGGACUCUAACCAAUACCUGUCUAACUACAGAAGCUAGCUUCUCAGCUAAUUCGACUUCUCCUUUAGUAAGUGGCAAUCGGCAACCCUUACUCUCCAACGCUUCUAGUAUCCGCAUUGUCUGUAAAUUCACAAACAAAUGUCAGAAUCGGUUAACUAUAAUUGACGAUUUAAGUGUAAGACUUUAAUUGAUCAUAAUACGAUACGAAUAAGUAUGCACAUCAAUCCGAUCCGAAGAGGCCAUGUCUAGCAGCUAUUCAUAGAGAGGUCAGUUAUAUGCCCUACCCUUAAUAGGCGUCUCUGGAGACUUUGUUCUUUUUGUCUCAGCCUAUCGAUCCAUGGAAGUGUCUCAGCUUGAAUAUGCCGUUGAAGCUGUCAGUAACAAACUCGUUUAGCGAAAUAAGUUCUUCCAAUAGAAUGGAAUGAGUCAUCAGAUGCAAAGACAUGGAUGAUAGAGAAGAUACAGUCAUCCAGGUAAAAUGACCUCCUGGCUUGUUCUAGCCAUAAUAAGUUUGAGAACAUAAAGUAGUACCAUUUUCACAUUGCUUUGGGUCGUCUGCAAUCUCUCGGCAUCUGAAGCAAUGACAUCAUCUUGAAGCUGUGUAAAUAUGGCAGCACAGAGUAAAAAAGUAAGCAAAUGAGAGAAACUACAUCAGAUCAGCAGAUCUUUACAAUCUAGAUUCUCGAACGAGUUCCAAUUGCAUUCUAGUUGAUGAAGGAUGGUAUACAUAGCAUAUUGGGAAUCACCCUUGAAGCAUCUUAGAAUCGGAUAAAUCAUUUAUAUAAGCCGUCGAUAUUAUAUGCAUCUAAAAAAAUGCUCACCUUGAGGCGGUCUGAAAGAUGUUUGAAACCUUGAACAAGUUGCGGCCAGAGGCGCUCUCGGUCUCUACUCUCCAUGCCUUCUAGCUUCCCCAUGGCCUCUGCCCACAUAAUCUAACAACGCAAACAAAUUCCCAGAUUAGCAAAUGCACACAGCUGAUGACUACAAGACGUUCUACGCAAGCAAUAGUUGCAGGAAGUAAUAACAAGUGAAACUCACAUCUGAUACAUCAGCGGGCUUGAUUCUUAUCUGUGGAUCCGUAAUACUGAACAGCAAAUGCUGAAAGAAGAGGUGACAGUAAUCACAUUGCAGUCAUUACACCAUCAAAUUAUCAUAUUCAAAAGUCAACACAAGGGCAAGUCGCAAAACCUUGAAAGCAUAUUUAGGGUUCCCAGCAUCCUCCUUGUAGUUGUAAGCGUCAACUAUCGUCUAUAAUUCGAUUCCCAUACGUCAGAAGGAAAAACUCACGAAACUAAGCAAACAAAAAUCCAUAGGAAAAAUGUUCAACCUGGAUAUCGCGAUCGGAGAGGGAGUAAGGGAGCGGGGCCACUGGGGCCAUCUGAGUAGUCAAUUGAGCAUUAGGAAAUGGCGUAGGCUGCUGCUGCUGCUGAGCGGAGAACUGAUUCUGAAAUCCGAAACCGCCGCCCGUCUGCUGGAACGGCGAAGCCUGUUGCUGCUGCUGCUGUUGAGGUUGUUGCGCAGAGAAUGGUGUGGAGAAGAGAGAAGAGCCGAAUCCCGUACCAAACGCGGAAGUGGACGGAGUGCCGAACGCCGGAGUUGAAGACGGAGCUCCGAACAACGAAUUCGACCCCGGAGUUCCGAAUCCCUGUGUUCCGAACGCCGGAGUAGAAGACGGAGUGCCGAAUGCUGGAGUGGAAGACGGAGUUCCGAAGGCCGGUGUGGAAGACGGAGUUCCGAAGGCCGGUGUUGAGGACGGAGUUCCGAACAUGGUGAGAUCGGAGCUCCGGAAUCGGAUGUAAGAACUCUUUAGCUUUUCCUCUAAUUCGAAGGCGCCAUGAGCUGGAGAGGUAUUUCAACUUUCAAUUUUUAUGCAGCUCAAGUGUUCGACGAUUUGCCGCUCAGGUCAAGUGUGUUUUACCUGCAUGUCUCUGUGUUUACUGUUUACUUCGCUUGCACUCUGCCAUGGAGGGAAAGCCAUUAACGAGGCGCAAUAGAUUGGGCCUAAAGGCCCAACAUAGGUCCACUAUAACGGGCCCAUUUAUCUAAGUCUAUGAGAGUGAAAUCCCGGUAUCAGACGUGGUUUGCUACUUCAUGAAACUCGCUAGCUUCUUUAAUCUCUUUUCUAAUGUCUAAAUUAAGUUCGUCCUUCGUCGGGAUAGUCAACCUGUUCAUUUAGUGACACGCGGAGCUCUUUAUUACCCCAACCCAGCCGAAUGAUUUUCUAGACUUGUGUUAUUAUUUAUAAUUUUGUUAUCUCGAGUGUUUCCUUAGUGAUAUCUUAGAAAAAAAAAAGAGUCCAUUAACUCAUGUCGAUCCCUUAUUGGACCUUAUGUGUUCAUUUGAUAUGUUUCUUCAGUAUUCUUGACGAUUUUCAGACCAUUGAGCGACCAAUGUUCGAACCAACGCUGCGAAUCGGAGUGAAACAAGUUGACACACUUAGCUGCAGAAGAUCAUCUUAAUACACAAGCAAGUGAAAAUUCGCGUUCAUCUCUAAUAGCUCUCCGGCUAGAAGAACCAUGCUCUAAUGUAAACAACCAUAAACAACACACAUAAAAAGGGUACAAUACAAGGUUUGUAGCAACAUGCAGAAGAACUCGCUACUAUUCGGCCGAAACUUGAGCCCCGCAACUAGUGUCCACCGCCACCCCUCCACCGAGUCCAAUGCUACGAAAAUAUUAAGGACGAAAUCGUUUAAAGUACACACUUCUAUUAUUCGAAUUGUAACAUUAAAUAGCCCGAGUUGAACCGAUCCCUCCCACUCGUGGGUUGUCCAUCAUGCCUUGAUGGUCACGCUACAUAAGCACAACCCUAAUGGCUUUAUGUCAGAUGUCUGCCACUCCGACCCAGAAGGAGCCAUAGGGUCGUAGACCAAAGUCUUGUAGCUCGGUUCAUCUUUCACGGCCAGCAACAGAAGCUUUCCAUCGAGAAUCCCGAAUCGGAACCCUACGGUGGAGCUCCCGGUCAAAGGUAUGGACACCAUCUUCCACGAAUUGUCCACCGGGUCGAAUAUCGACACCUUACGCUGGUUCCUCCACUCCAUACAGAGCAGUUUCUUCUCCAGCACGGCAUGUGCUGUGACCAUGACACAGCCGUUCUUCAUCUGGCACCAGGCGCCCGUACAGCUUGAUGGUCACGCUACAUAAGCACAACCCUAAUGGCUUUAUGUCAGAUGUCUGCCACUCCGACCCAGAAGGAGCCAUAGGGUCGUAGACCAAAGUCUUGUAGCUCGGUUCAUCUUUCACGGCCAGCAACAGAAGCUUUCCAUCGAGAAUCCCGAAUCGGAACCCUACGGUGGAGCUCCCGGUCAAAGGUAUGGACACCAUCUUCCACGAAUUGUCCACCGGGUCGAAUAUCGACACCUUACGCUGGUUCCUCCACUCCAUACAGAGCAGUUUCUUCUCCAGCACGGCAUGUGCUGUGACCAUGACACAGCCGUUCUUCAUCUGGCACCAGGAGCCCGUUUCGGGGUCAUAGACAUCGACAAACUUUGAGUUCCCUAUCGUGAAGCUCGACCUUCCUCCCAUGACGUAGAGCUUGCCCUCGAAGUUACAGGCGAAGCAUCCCCACCUGGGGCGACGGAGCGGCUCUAUCAAGGUCCAUUUUCCGGUAUCCGGAUCGUACAUUUCUACGCUAGAGAGACAAUCGCCGUCGAUCCCAUAGCCACCGACGGCAUAUACCUUUCCGUUCACCUCGGAGCAUCCGAAGUCAUAGCGAGCAACGUUCAUGCUAGAUAACUUGCUCCAACUGCAGUGAAAAAAAGAUAAAAACUUGUGAUCCUAGCAAAGAAUUUAUAGAACAGACAGAAACAAGAGUAACGAACCUGUUAAGGCUCGAAUCAUAUUCAUAAACAUCAGCCGAAACAGAGUCAGUUCCAUCGGCAGUCGAAUAGCCAGCCAUGACAAGAAGCUUUCCAUUAAGAACAACUACGCCAAAUCCAGCCAUGAAAGGACCAGGCAUCUGGGGAAGAGCCCUAUGCCUAUUCCCCAUUGAACCCACCACCUCCCAGUGGCUUUCCUUUCCUUCAGAAUCCGCAGUCAACAGAUAAAGCCACUCC